ACUUAAGGAAUGUGGGAAGCACACUC
Molecule: non-coding RNA, 26 nt
Filed under: Cricetulus griseus (Chinese hamster)
Lineage: Eukaryota; Metazoa; Chordata; Mammalia; Rodentia; Cricetidae
Source: RNAcentral